UACGGAGGGUGCGAGCGUUAAUCGAAAUUACUGGGCGUAAAGGGUGUGUAGGUGGCUAUAUAAGUUACUUGUGAAAGUCCCGGGCUUAACCUGGGUUUGUUGGGUGAUACUGUAUAGCUAGAGUAUAGGAGAGGGUAGGGGAAUUCCAGGUGUAGCGGUGAAAUGCGUAGAUAUCUGGAGGAACACCGGUGGCGAAGGCGCCUACCUGGCCUGAUACUGACACUGAGGCACGAAAGCGUGGGGAGCAAACAGG
Molecule: ribosomal RNA, 253 nt
Filed under: uncultured bacterium
Lineage: Bacteria
Description: partial 16S ribosomal RNA
Rfam family: Bacterial small subunit ribosomal RNA
Source: RNAcentral